RNAcentral lists this transfer RNA (90 nucleotides) under Ostreobium quekettii. RNAcentral describes it as "tRNA-Ser". It matches the Rfam family "tRNA". Rfam says of the family: Transfer RNA (tRNA) molecules are approximately 80 nucleotides in length. Their secondary structure includes four short double-helical elements and three loops (D, anti-codon, and T loops). Lineage: Eukaryota; Viridiplantae; Chlorophyta; Ulvophyceae; Bryopsidales; Ostreobiaceae. The record is from RNAcentral. RNAcentral also lists the same sequence under 1 other name.
GGAAAAAUGGCUGAGUGGUCGAAAGCGACAGAUUGCUAAUCUGUUGUAUGAACUUUUCUCAUACCGAGGGUUCGAAUCCCUCUUUUUCCG